GUGCCAGCCGCCGCGGUAAUACGGAGGGAGCUAGCGUUGUUCGGAAUUACUGGGCGUAAAGCGCGCGUAGGCGGUCCAUCAAGUCAGAGGUGAAAGCCCGGGGCUCAACCCCGGAACUGCCUUUGAAACUGGCGGACUAGAAUCUUGGAGAGGCGAGUGGAAUUCCGAGUGUAGAGGUGAAAUUCGUAGAUAUUCGGAAGAACACCAGUGGCGAAGGCGACUCGCUGGACAAGUAUUGACGCUGAGGUGCGAAAGCGUGGGGAGCAAACAGGAUUAGAUACCCCGGUAGUCC
RNAcentral lists this ribosomal RNA (292 nucleotides) under uncultured bacterium. Its description in RNAcentral is "partial 16S ribosomal RNA". It matches the Rfam family "Bacterial small subunit ribosomal RNA", at positions 505 to 796 of the family's 1533-position model. The record is from RNAcentral.